GCCACCUCCUCCUCCACGAGGACCCCCUCCUGGGCCAACACCUCCCCCCCCAGGCCCACCUUAUCAGCCACCAACACCCUCACCUAGACCACCACCCCAACGUCCUUCUCCUCGACCACCACCUGCAUACCAGCCCCCAGCACCACCUGGGGCCAGACCACCAUCCCCUCAAGCACCACCACCUUUCCCUGGACC
Rhipicephalus microplus (southern cattle tick) is the source of this 195-nucleotide long non-coding RNA. The record is from RefSeq and is a predicted model, not a curated record. Lineage: Eukaryota; Metazoa; Arthropoda; Arachnida; Ixodida; Ixodidae.